UAGAUCGUCUAUGAAUACUUUUUUGUUAUAGAUCAACAUGUAAAAUAGAUGGAAAUGUUGACUCUACUAGUCUAGAUACAUUCUAGACUAGAUCUAGUCUAUAUAAUCUAGAUCUAUUAUUAUCUAUAGACUAGAUCUCUAGCUUUAGACCUAGCGAUGACGUUUUUUUUAAAUCUCUUGUAAAAUUGGUUAUACUUUUUAAUUAUUCCCCCACCCUGAAAUGCCA
Biomphalaria pfeifferi is the source of this 226-nucleotide non-coding RNA. The record is from the annotation of a GenBank genome assembly. NCBI's taxonomy places the organism in Eukaryota, Metazoa, Mollusca, Gastropoda, Planorbidae.